GAUGAACGCUGACAGAAUGCUUAACACAUGCAAGUCAACUUGAACUUCGGUUUGGGUGGCGGACGGGUGAGUAACGCGUACAGAACUUGCCUCACAGAUAGGGACAACAUUUGGAAACGAAUGCUAAUACCUGAUAUUAUGAUUAUAUGGCAUCGUAUAAUUAUGAAAGCUAUAUGCGCUGUGAGAGAGCUUUGCGUCCCAUUAGCUAGUUGGAGAGGUAACGGCUCACCAAGGCGAUGAUGGGUAGCCGGCCUGAGAGGGUGAUCGGCCACAAGGGGACUGAGACACGGCCCGUACUCCUACGGGAGGCAGCAGUGGGGAAUAUUGGACAAUGGACCAAGAGUCUGAUCCAGAAAUUCUGUGUGCACGAUGAAGUUUUUCGGAAUGUAAAGUGCUUUCAGUUGGGAAGAAAAAAAUGACGGUACCAACAGAAGAAGUGACGGCUAAAUACGUG
This 454-nucleotide ribosomal RNA is filed under the name uncultured bacterium. RNAcentral's name for it is "partial 16S ribosomal RNA". It matches the Rfam family "Bacterial small subunit ribosomal RNA", at positions 28 to 507 of the family's 1533-position model. The record is from RNAcentral.